UAAUCAUUUGUCUACUAAUUAUAGACCUGUAUGAAAGGCAAAAUGAGAGCUCCACUGUCUCCUGUAAUCCAUCAAUAAAACUGAUCUCCCAGUCCAAAAGCUAGGAUAAACCCAUAAGACCAGAAGACCCUGUGAAGCUUCAAUUAACCCAUUAACCCCAUUAAUAGCUACUUUCGGUUGGGGCGACCUUGGAAAAAAAAGAAACUUCCAAACCAUGACCUAACUUCAUCCACAUAGGCCCACAAGCCACUAUAGACCCAGAUUUCUGAUUACUGAACCAAGUUACUCCAGGGAUAACAGCGCCAUCUUCUUCAAGAGCCCAUAUCAAAAAGAAGGUUUACGACCUCGAUGUUGGAUCAGGACACCCAAGUAGUGCAACCGCCACCAAAGGUU
Molecule: ribosomal RNA, 393 nt
Filed under: Xenodermus javanicus
Lineage: Eukaryota; Metazoa; Chordata; Lepidosauria; Squamata; Xenodermidae
Description: partial 16S ribosomal RNA
Rfam family: Archaeal large subunit ribosomal RNA
Source: RNAcentral